RNAcentral lists this transfer RNA (66 nucleotides) under Myladina unguiculina. RNAcentral describes it as "tRNA-Pro". Lineage: Eukaryota; Metazoa; Arthropoda; Insecta; Coleoptera; Tenebrionidae. The record is from RNAcentral.
CAAGAAGUAGUUUAAUUUAAAAUUUUAAUUUUGGAGAUUAAUGAUGAGUGUGAUAUUCUUUCUUGA